CCUACGGGCGGCAGCAGUGAGGAAUAUUGGUCAAUGGGCGCGAGCCUGAACCAGCCAAGUAGCGUGAAGGAUGACUGCCCUACGGGUUGUAAACUUCUUUUGUAAAGGAAUAAAGUCAGGCACUUGUGCCUUGUUGUGUGUACUUUAUGAAUAAGGAUCGGCUAACUCCGUGCCAGCAGCCGCGGUAAUACGGAGGAUCCGAGCGUUAUCCGGAUUUAUUGGGUUUAAAGGGAGCGUAGAUGGGUUGUUAAGUCAGUUGUGAAAGUUUGCGGCUCAACCGUAAAAGUGCAAUUGAUACUGGCAGUCUGGAGUACAGGUGAGGUAGGCGGAAUGCGUGGUGUAGCGGUGAAAUGCUUAGAUAUCACGAAGAACUCCGAUUGCGAAGGCAGCGUACUAAACCGCCACUGACAUUGAUGCUCGAAAGUGUGGGUAUCAAACAGGAUUAGAUACCCUUGUAGUC
This 460-nucleotide ribosomal RNA is filed under the name uncultured bacterium. RNAcentral describes it as "partial 16S ribosomal RNA". It matches the Rfam family "Bacterial small subunit ribosomal RNA", at positions 338 to 795 of the family's 1533-position model. The record is from RNAcentral.